GACCCCAGAUAUAAUGUUUCCUGAAUAAUGGUAGUGUUAUUUCCUAGAACUCAUGAAAAUGAAUCAUGAGGUUUCAUGAAACAUUUCGUCUCUUAAAUGCUCCGCAUUGUUGAGGCAAAUGAAAAUGAUCUAGAAAAGUACAUCAGGGUUCUAUUCGCCUUCUUCACAGGGAAGAAGCAACAUUUAGCCGAGAUUGUAUCUUCUCUCUUUAGCUCUGAACCUCAGACUUAGAGAUAACCAGGCCAUGGUUGACAUCUUCCUAAAAGGAUGUUCUGUUCCCUUGGUCAGCAGGCUAGUUUUAACUUGAUAUGGGGACAGUAAAGCUCAUUCAUUUCAAUGUUGCCUUGAGUAUUCACUGGGGUGUGUGUGUGUGUGUGUGUGUGUGUGUGUCCUUGUGUGUGCGUGUGUAUACAUAUGUUAUAUACUGUAUAACAUAACUAACAUUCUUGAUUAUUCAGGGUUCUCCAGAGAAACAAAACCAAUAGGAUAUGUGUAUAUAUAGAGUUGUAUUUCAAGGGACUGGCUUGUGAGAUUGUGGAGGCUUGGCAAGUCCUAAAUCUGAUAGAGCAGGCUGGCAGCCUGAUGAUUCAGGCAAGAGUUGCAGUUUGAGUAUGAAGGCAGUCUGCUGAGAGAAUUCCUUCUUGCUUUGGGGAAGUUCAGUCCUUGUUUUUUUAAGGCCUUCAACUGAUUAGAUGAGGCCCACCUGCAUUAUGGAGGACAAUAUGCUUUACUCAAAGUCCACCGAUUUAAAGAUUAAUUUCCUCCGAAAAACACCUUCACAGAAGUAUCCAGAAUAAUGUUUGACCAAUUAGCUGGGCACUGUGCCCCAGCUAAGACACAAUUAACCUUUGUAUUAAUAGAAAGACUAUGUUCAGGAUGCUGUUUACAGGAAGAAAUGCUAUUUAUCCACUUCAUAUACCUCUUCCUAUUCUUGGCCCUACACAGGGUCUGAACAUUUCAGAAGGCAAACGCUUCAGCAUUUCCUGGAGUUUUGAAGAAUCAUUAUUAGCUCGUGUCUUUAGAAACUCUUUCUUAAAAAGCUAACAUAAUGGGAAUGGAAGGAGGUGAUGUGGUCCUGCCACUGACUUCCAACUUCUUUGAACCCUGUUUCUCCCUUAUACUAUGUUUCCUGUCAUUUUAGCCACGGGGUACUAUUCAAAAUUCAGGAAAAUCAUGACAUUUUAGCAUCAUGAAUGGAGAACUAUUCUACAUGCCUCAUUUUUUUUACUUCUGAAUUUGUAAAGCCAUAUUCUCUGUAAUUCAUUUGACUAACUUUUCAUUGAGUAUUCCAGGUGGUAUGUGCAGCAAACCAUCAUGCACACUGCAACCUGAUUAAUUUUCCUAAAUUGAAGCUCUGCUGGCACCAUCUGCCUGUAGGUAUCCCUCAUUACCUACUAAAUUAGAUCUAAGGUCCUUUCCCUGGACUCCCAGACUCUCCAUAAUAUUCAGAUCCAUGACCCAACUGAGCUGUUUUCCAAAUAUGUCCUGCCCUUUGCCUACUUUUGACUCUGUGCACUGCACACUCUCUGCCUUGGAAUGUUCUCUCAUGCUCUUGCUGUUUUAAAUGGUCUUCAUUUUAAAUGCCUCCUUGUAUGUACUACCAAGAAAAUGUCAUUUCUCUCUUCAUAAACACCCACAGCCUUCUUGUCUUUUCAAUUUCUCCCUGUACAAUAGUCAUUUGUGAGCUUUUCUCACUCCCUCUGUUAAUACUGUCAGGUUCUCUAAGGCAGGAACUGUGUUUUAACCAUUCAUUCAUUCACUGCACAUGUCAGAAGCAUAUAGCACUUCUUAGAGAGUAUCAGCAGGAGAUAGGGAGCCAAUUGCAUAGGUUUGGAUUUUGGUUAUGCCUAAGUUAACCAUAAAUAUAUUUUCCAAAUGGGACACUUUGUAUAAAACAAAGCUAUCAAGAAUGACACCAGAAUAAGAGGCACAAGUCAGGACUGUCCCAAUCACACCAAGACAUGGCAAAUUAAUCUAGGCUUAGUUUCCUCAACUGUGAAAACAGUAAUAUUUUUAUCAUACAGUUACGUGAGCAUUAAUUGAAUAAAUAUGUGUAAAGCCCUUAGGGCAGGUUCUGCUCCUAUGAGUAUAAUGAUGUUGAUGGUAAUGAUUGACACAAUUGUCUGCUGAGCCUCAUCUUUUUCAACCAGAUAAAAACAUGGGUCUCAGGAUUGAGGACCUAGAUAUCUCCAGGAGGCACAAUCCAGCCUCCCACAGUGAGCAAGUCAGGAAGUGAAAAAUCCAGUUGAUGUCUAGGAACCAUAUUGCACUACAGGCUUUUAAAGGUUUCAUUUUGCUUUUUCUGCAGCUGAUUUGUGUGUGUGUGUGUGUGUGUGUGUGUGUGUGUGUGUAUGACAUUCAUGCUUACUCAAUCUCAGCUCAGGAACUAAGUGACAUGUAUCAUUAAAUAUUAAUCAUCAUAUUCUAAUUUGCCUGGACUCAGGUAUUCUCUCUGCCUAUGAUUCUGCCACAGGAAAUAGAGCAAGUGGUAUUCUAGCCUAAGCAUCUAUGGUCCCCCAUCACUACCCAUUCUAUUUUUGUUGCACACUUCAGCUCUCUGAGCAACAGCUAUUCAUCAAGAAAGAGAGGUGGUUCAUAGCAGAUGUUUCCAAGAUUUGAAACUUGUCCCUGCUAAUCACCUGUUGGAUGAUAUUUAUCAAGUUACCAAUCUCUGACUUUCGGUAUGACCAACUCUAUGAUAAUACUACCUAUUUCUCAGAGCUGUUAUAACACUUAAAAAAUACACAUAAAACAACGAUCAUAUAGUUAUCAAUCAAUCAGUAAUGACUUUGUCAUUAUAGUGUGAUAUCUUUCUGACUUGGUAUAGAUGGUUAUCAUAGUAAAGUUGCCUUUUCAGAAGUUUCACAUCCAAGAGAUUACUAAUGUCAUUUAUUUCAGUUCCACCUACUCUUAUAAAGCAUCUACAAUAUGCUACAUCCUGGGCACUAUAAGAGAUGCAAUACUGAACAGAACCAACCCUUAUUGACAAUAAGCUCACAGCCUGGUGAGGAAAGCGAGUAUAUCAAACAGGUGAUGACAAUACAUGGUGAGUAGGGUUAUAAAAUUUGAAUGUAGUAUUUGAUAUUAAGGAGUGAUUAAUUUUGUGACAUGUGUCAGCAUGAUGAUUAGAUCAAAAUCUUUGUUUAUUAAAGAUAAAUGCAGUAUCAGUUUCCUAUUGCUGCUGUAACAAAUUACCACAAAUUUAGUGACUUGAAACAAUGUAUUUGUUCUCUUAAAAAAUAAAUUUGUUUUCUUAAAGUUCUGGAGGUCCAAAGUCUGAACCAAGUCUACCUAGGCUAAAAUCAAGAAUUUAGCAUGGCUGGAUCCUUCUGGAAGCUCCAGAGGAAAAUCCAUUCUUUGCCUCAACUUCAAGAGGAUGCCCACAUUUGGCUGUGACCGUAUCACUCCUGUCUCCAUUUUUGUUGUCACAUUGCCUUCUCUGACUUUGGCUCUCCUUCCCCCACUUUUAAGGAUCCUUGUAAUUACAUUGGGCUGACCUGCAGAGUUGAGGAUAAUCUCUCCCUCUGAAGAUUUUUAAUUUAAUAACAUCUGCAAAGUCCCGUAUGCCAUGUAAAUUCUCAUAGUCACAGGUACUACGACCCAGAGAAAGAAGGGAUGGGGAGAAUAGGAAAGCUGAAAUGCUUAUUAGAUUUCAUGGUUUCCAGAGGUGUAAUCACCUUAGGGUUUCUCUAGAACAAUCCAUAUUUCGUGGGACAAAUUCGAGGCCCAGAAAAAUCCCACAUGGCAGCAACUUAUCCUGACUUCUAAUAAACAAAUUGUGCUCACAAGGGUUUGUGUUAAAACACGGUGGGGGGAAGUCAUACAUGCUCAGGGAGAUUUUGUUUCUAAAGGAACAGCAUGAUAGCAAAUAAGACUUGGGAUUUUUCUAGGGAUGCAGCAAUCUCACCAUUAAUUUUAAAUUGUCUAAGAACGCGGAUCACAUCACCCUUCAUUGUAGGUAAGGCUCUGAAUGGCCACAGGGGGGCGCCCCUCACCAUUGUUGGGUUCCUUCUCCCUCAGGUCCAUCUGUUCAUUUCCUGCCUUUUCCCAGGCUUGCUGAGAUUUCUCAGAUUAGGUGAGGGUACAUGUUUUGUCAUUUCGCAACGAAAAUGAAGAGGUUUUCUUGUCUAAAGAGAUCAAAAUUUUGAUUUUAUUGUAAAAAAUGGAAAGUGUCCCCACAAUAUUUUCUUUAAACACCGUGGAAGCAAUGCAAAAGCAUAAAAAGGAAAGUGUCCCUCAAGAUUCCCUUCUCAUGGAUGCCGCUGUAAUUAUGCACAUUGCCAGCAGGUGGCACUGCAUCAUUAACAGUUUACUGAACCGUUAGCACAAGGUGGGUUGUUCAAUUUUCAGAGAUCUGAACAAAUGUUUACGAAUUUCUUACUGUGUGCAAGGUUCUUCUUCAGACUCUGGGGUUGCACUGGUAAAUAAACAGACACUAACUCGGCUCUGGUGGAGAACAUUCCCAGUGUAGUAACAUGUCCGAGCAAGAAGAGGGACUUGUCUUUUAAAAUUUCAUCUCCCCCUUUCUCAACUCCUUGAAAGUCAUAUCUAAGGGAAAAUGUUACAGUGAAAAGAAAAAAAGACAACUAUAAUCUUUUCAUACAAAAGGAUACUUAAGGAAGGCAAAAUCAUUUGCCUAAACACACAACUGGCAAUAGUUAGAUGCAAGUCAGCUGACCCAACAUUUUCUCUAACAUUUCACUGCAGUGAUUCUCUGAGUGACAAGUUCAGGGCUGAAGUGAACAAGUGACAAGUGACAAGUUCUAGUCUUGCCACAGUCGUGGAUUCUUAACCAAACCACUCCAUCUCUCUGGGCUUUAGUUUACUUUUCUGUUAAAAAAAUGAAGGCAUUGGAUUAGGUAAGUCAGUUUAAACAUUUUUACCAAAAGAAUCUAUUUUUUAAAAAAUAUUAUCCAAGAGUUCAAUACAUAAAGGAAAGUGCUUGAGUUGAAAGAGAUUUGUUCCUCUUGAGCUUCCAUCAUUCUCCCCUGGACUCUUCAGUCUCUCAGAGCAGAGUUCGAAAAAUACCGCCCUUGAGAGAUCUUGCAAAGACCUUCCAUCUCGAAUUAUCCAUCGCUCCCCAAAUGCACUGAAUCUGGUGUGGGAGAGUAAUCAUCUCAAAGAGUGCUUGCUGCUGGGUAAAACCAGAGCAAACUAAACCCUAGAUCCUGAAGGUGAUGACAGGUGCAAUCAGUGACGAAGAACAAAGAAAAAGUGACACUUACAGCAUUUUAAAUAUUUGCAACUCAAUUUCUUCUGAAUGACGACACUAUCUUCAUGCUGGACCGUCCUCUCUCACACACUCAGCCAGGUUUCAGUGGAGAAUGUCCCCUGGCACCCGCUCUCGGAGGUGAGGAGUUUGCCCAUGGAGCACACUGGCUGCCCUGCAUUUAGGCAUCAAACACACAGGCUUUUGGCUGUGACAAGUGCCCAGAGCCAAAGGUGGUGUGGCUUACUGCUGAAUCACAGGGCAUGGAGCCAAAGGUUCUGGAAACCACGCAAACACACAUCACAGGCAGUGAUGGGAAGGGCAAUUUAAGGUCAAAGGACUAGGGGAGGCUGACCACCGCAGACCUGAGAACUAGUCUCCCUGCGUUUACCUCCCAGCCUCAUCACUCCAGACAAGUUACUCUGGUUCCUAAAUGGUAAUUUUGGAUAAUAACAGUAACUAUUUCCUAGGAAGGAUAGGUAACAACGGUAUGUAAAUACCAGGUAAAAGUUGCAGUGGUCUCUCCCAGGAGUCCUGCCAACACCCCCGGGGGGGGGGGUUCCUCACUCUUGUCACCUCGUACUCCUCCACACAGCAGCCUGAGUGACCUUUAAGUUGUCUGUUAGGUCAUAUCACGCCAAUCUUAAAGCCCUUCAGUGACUCUCCCUUGCACUUGAGAGAACCACUCAAUUCCUCACGCUGACCUGAAAUGCCUGCAUGGCCUUGCUCGUCCACCCUCCAACCUGAAUCUGCCGUUUGCUGACCACACUCCAACCACACUGGCCUCCUGACGGUUCCUGGAACAGCCCGGGCCUUUGCCAUGCUUGGGAAUGCUCAUGCUUGCUGCUUCUUUUCCCAGAACACACUGGCACUUCCUAACGUCUCAGCUAAAAUCUUUCUCCUCAGAGAGGUCUUCUCUGACCACUCUGUCUAAAGUGUCCAGAAUAGAGUGUGCUUUAUUCCAUCGCACAGGGAUUGGAAAAUUUUGACCCUGGGACCAAACCAGCCCACUAUCCACUUUUUUUUUUUUUUUAAAGUACUGCACCUGCGGCAUAUGGAAGUUCUCAGGCUAGGGGUCGAAGCGGAGCUGCAGUUGCUGGCCUACACCACAGCCAUAGCAACAUGGGAUUUGAGCUGCGUCUGUGACCUACAGCACAGCUCAUGGCAACGCUGGAUCCUUAACCCACAGAGCAAGGCCAGGGCUCAAACCCAUGUCCUCAUGGAUAAUAGUCAGGUUCAUCAUUGCUGAGCCAUGUUGGGAACACCCACUUUUUUUUAAUAUAAAGUUUUAUUGGAACAUAGCUAGACAUUCAUUUAUUUACCAUCUCUGGCUACUUUGGUGCUCUAAUGGCCAAGUCGAAUAGUUGCAAAGUCUAAAACUACUAAACUAUCUUACAUUUACAAAUAAAGGUUAAUGACCC
This 6630-nucleotide long non-coding RNA is filed under the name Sus scrofa (pig). RNAcentral describes it as "lncRNA (ENSSSCG00000063202.1)". The record is from RNAcentral. Lineage: Eukaryota; Metazoa; Chordata; Mammalia; Artiodactyla; Suidae.